This 402-nucleotide ribosomal RNA is filed under the name uncultured bacterium. RNAcentral's name for it is "bacterial SSU rRNA". It matches the Rfam family "Bacterial small subunit ribosomal RNA", at positions 355 to 774 of the family's 1533-position model. The record is from RNAcentral.
UGGGGAAUCUUGCACAAUGGGGGAAACCCUGAUGCAGCGACGCCGCGUGAACGAUGAAGCCCUUCGGGGUGUAAAGUUCUUUCGACAGGAACGAUAAUGACGGUACCUGGAGAAGAAGCUGCGGCCAACUACGUGCCAGCAGCCGCGGUAAUACGUAGGCAGCGAGCGUUGUUCGGAGUUACUGGGCGUAAAGAGUGCGUAGGCGGCGAGCCAAGUUUGGUGUGAAAUCUCCCGGCUUAACCGGGAGGGUGCGCCGAAAACUGGUUGGCUGGAGUAUGGGGGAGGAAAGCGGAAUUCCUGGUGUAGCGGUGAAAUGCGUAGAUAUCAGGAGGAACACCUGCGGUGUAGACAGCUUUCUGGACCAAAACUGACGCUGAGGCACGAAAGCGUGGGUAGCAAACA